RNAcentral lists this long non-coding RNA (1766 nucleotides) under Capsicum annuum. Its description in RNAcentral is "long non-coding RNA (CANN_LNC009339)". The record is from RNAcentral. Lineage: Eukaryota; Viridiplantae; Streptophyta; Magnoliopsida; Solanales; Solanaceae.
UACGCUGGAAUCAAAUGACUUUUGCUGCUCAACGCACAUCCUCACCAAAGAUAUCGCCACAUACUUGAGCUUGUUGAAUCGUAGAUUCAAGCAGGUAAUUGAUCUCUUCAGAUAUUUCAAAACUGCUUCAGCAUUAUCCCCGGAGGCACAUCCCUAAUGGUAUACAACAAAGUACAGAAUCAGUUAAAACUCUCGUGCUUACAUAUACAUACCACAUAUACCUAUCUUACCAUGAUGUGAAGUGCAUUCAAAUUGGAAAAAGGUAAACUAUGCAUUAAGCAGGUUUAACUUACAUAAAGGUAAACAAAAAAGUGUACACAAUUAGGAUAUUUUAAAGACAGAAAUAACCAUCUAUCAUGUGUAGGUUGAAAAUCUAAAGAAAAGGUGAGUAGCAUUGUACAAUAGAUUAAACUACAGUGUCGGUGUAAUAUUUUGGUUACACUGCCUCCGUGCUCCAUUUAAUAUGCAAAACCUGAUUUGAUUCUUGGGAUUUGUCUAAAUUACAUCCCUAAUAAAUGAGAUUGUUCUUAUCUAAAAAGGGGCAACCCAAUAGCAUAGAGAAGCAUAAUUUUAAACAGUAGUCACGAAUUCGGAUUCUAAUGACUUUCUUGACCACUACUACUAAGUGGAUCCCAUCAUACAUAAGAUUCCGGGACAAGUAAUAGAGAGGAGUGAAACCAGUAUACAAAAUGGCAUGCAUACAUUAAGAAAUUUAGGAGCAAUAUAUAUAGUAUUUUACGUUGCAAUAGUUAUAGCUAACGUCCAAUACGUACUAUGCUAUACACUGUAAAGAAAUACCAUGUCAAUAUGAAUUUUUAUGUUAAGUAAAAAAAUCAACUAGAUCAUACACAUAUCAAGUUCAUGAAUCUUCCAGUACUUACCCAAAUCUGAAGUUUACUCAAAUUGGGGCAACUUCUAAUAAACUGUAGAGCACAAGUGGUCUGAGACAGUGAAAAAAAUUAUUACUCCAGCGGACAUAAAACUGACAAUUGACAUAGAAUUGGAUCACUUGGAAACAUAUACUCUAUUGCGUCUUUAACGGGAAGAAGUUCAAGUAUAUAAUCUAUAACAUUUGCCGACCCGAUCAAAAAAUACCACAAACUUUAACACCAAACAAACCUAAAUAAAUUUGGAGACAUUUCAAGAAACAAUUUAAGUAUCUCAAAUGACAUGCAAACAUCAAGACAUUCAAAAUUGCUAAGAUUAAUCAUACCUGACACAUAUUAUAUAUGUAGGUAUAGUAAUUAAGUAAUUAUUCAUAAGUAUCGAAGAACCCACUUUGAAAUACUCAAAAUGAAGGCAAAACCUCCAAACCAAGAUGCUUAUUUAAACACUAUACACCAAUUCAAACUCACAAAACAAAUUUAAAAAGCUACACAACAUGAAAUCAACACCUUAAACACUACACACCAAUUCAAACUCACAAAACAAAUUUAAAAAGCUAGACAAUAUGAAAUCAACAUCUUUUUUGUCCUAAUCGCAGUUAAUCGGAACAAAUCGAAGUUGAUGAAAAAGAGAGCUCACAGUGAAUAGAUGUUUUCGUAUCAAUAAUUUCAGCCUAAAUACUAUUUGUGUCUGUUACCUCUUUCAAAUGUUGUAUUUGUGUAGUUUCCUCAAAAAUCUUCAAUUUUCUCCCUUCUUGGGCUUAUUAGAGAACUAAGGUCUAAGUCCAAUCCAAUUGGGUUUCAUAUUAAGCUCUCAAUAAUCUCUGAAUAUAGCAAAAUAGAAACAAUGUUUGGGCAGAAAAUGUACACGGACAAAACAAA